This 234-nucleotide unclassified non-coding RNA is filed under the name Hevea brasiliensis (rubber tree). Lineage: Eukaryota; Viridiplantae; Streptophyta; Magnoliopsida; Malpighiales; Euphorbiaceae. The record is from RNAcentral.
GUCGAUGAUCUCCGAUCACCGGAAUAUUUGGAAUCGCCAUUUAGUCAACAUCUAAGUAUCUUGAACCAGUGAACCGGAGAGAGAAAACACAAGCUCUGGACCGGAGAGAAUCGAGUCCAUGGUCUAGGGUUUAGUGUUUCCACAAGCUUCAGUACAACAACACCACUUCAUUUCCACCAUGAAUGAUUCAAAGCUUUUCGUCUUCCUCGUCUGCUUACUUGCUCAGUUUUUCCU